AUUGAACGCUGGCGGCAGGCCUAACACAUGCAAGUCGAGCGGAUGAAGGGAGCUUGCUCCUGGAUUCAGCGGCGGACGGGUGAGUAAUGCCUAGGAAUCUGCCUGGUAGUGGGGGAUAACGUCCGGAAACGGGCGCUAAUACCGCAUACGUCCUGAGGGAGAAAGUGGGGGAGCUUCGGACCUCACGCUAUCAGAUGAGCCUAGGUCGGAUUAGCUAGUUGGUGGGGUAAAGGCUUACCAAGGCGACGAUCCGUAACUGGUCUGAGAGGAUGAUCAGUCACACUGGAGCUGAGACACGGUCCAGAGUACUACGGGAGGCAGCAGUGGGGAAUAUUGGACAAUGGGCGAAAGCAUGAUACAGCCAUGCCGAGUGUGUGAAGAAGGUCUUCGGAUUGUAAAGCACUUUAAGUUGGGAGGAAGGGCAGUAAGUUAAUACCUUGCUGUUUUGACGUUACCAACAGAAUAAGCACCGGCUAACUUCGUG
This 484-nucleotide ribosomal RNA is filed under the name uncultured bacterium. RNAcentral's name for it is "partial 16S ribosomal RNA". It matches the Rfam family "Bacterial small subunit ribosomal RNA", at positions 30 to 507 of the family's 1533-position model. The record is from RNAcentral.